This is a long non-coding RNA of Solanum lycopersicum (tomato), 828 nucleotides long. RefSeq lists it as uncharacterized. NCBI's taxonomy places the organism in Eukaryota, Viridiplantae, Streptophyta, Magnoliopsida, Solanales, Solanaceae. The record is from RefSeq and is a predicted model, not a curated record.
GUUAUUUUUCCAAAAUAAAAUUAGGAUAAGUGUAAAUUUUCAUAUGAAAUAAGGAUAUAUUUCUCCCUUUUGAAGUCGCCACCAACCAAGACACCUCCAUUCUCCCCUUUCUUUUUCACCAAACAGCCACCAAGACCCUCCUACUCUAUCAAUUUCCUUAUUCUCGUCAACCCAAAAAUCCACCUGUUGCUUUCCCUCCGACCACCAAGAACACCACCCCAAACGUACAACAACAAAACCCCAUCUUCCUCUUCUCUUUUUCCGAUGAAACUUCACCCAUUUCCUCUUUACAAAUGACUAGCACCAACCAACAAAAAUCUACCUGAAACAACCCCCAAAACCCAUUAUUUUCCCCUUUAAUUGCUGCCAACAGUGACUCCGACGAGGAGUUUCAACAUCUGAUGAAUCGGAGUAAAAUAAUCACGAGACCAUCAAGAACCAUCCCUCCCCCCUUUUUUCUAUAUGAUCUUGUUCAUUUUGCAGCCAUUUUAGCGAGCUACAAACUCCAAAACUGAUGAGCUCGAAGCACAAGCGAGUCAACAUGCUCGUAACAACGAUGAACCAGCGAUCUACAAGCUCCAAACCAGCAGCCACUAUUUGCUUCAUCUCCGGUGAAACUCAAAAUGCUCCAGCGAAGCUUCAAACUCCGGCUACCGUUGUACCCUUGAGUUGCUUCUCAUCGAAGUUAUUCCAAUGGAAUUGAAAUGUAUUUUAUAUUUAUCAUUGUGUAUAUAAUUGAUGUUAGGCAAACAUUAGGCCAAUACUUGCAUUAUUAUUUUAUUUUGUUAUUUGUUUAUAUUACAUGUUAGUUGACUUGUAUAUUAUUUA